Lepus europaeus (European hare) is the source of this 463-nucleotide long non-coding RNA. RefSeq lists it as uncharacterized. The transcript is spliced from 3 exons. NCBI's taxonomy places the organism in Eukaryota, Metazoa, Chordata, Mammalia, Lagomorpha, Leporidae. The record is from RefSeq and is a predicted model, not a curated record.
CAGGAGGCAGGCGUCGCAGGCCGCCCCCGGAGCACAGCUUAUCCGAGGCCACAGCAGGCCUGGAAUCAGGAAUCACUCCUGGCUGUUGGCAGCACCAGAGCCCUAACUGAGAAACCCUGGCCUGCCCAUGUAGCGCAGGACUGGCUGUAAAAGAGAAUCCUGAGCUUUGCAUAGACAACAGAGACACUGGCCACCAUAAUCCAGUGCAGGUGCUCAGAGGAAGCAGAGGCACCUGGAAGCUGUGAUCUCCUCGAUAAGCCUCCCUCGCUUCAGCAUGGACUGCCUCCAGCCACCUAACACUGCCCUCACUGGGAAGCCCAGAAACAAGCAGGCCCCUGCCAUUCAUGUGGGAGAACCGGAUGGAGUUUCAGGCCCCACCUCAUCCCCACAUUGUGGCCAUCUGGGGAGUGAACCAGUGGAUGGAAGAGCAUUCUCUCUAGCUCCAUCUCUCCCACUCUGUAAC